GCCAGGUGUGGCUAUGAGGCUGAGUUCUCACCAACUAUAACAUAAAGUGAAGUGUGUAACUUCCAGACCACAUCCUUGAAAGGGAAGCUUUUCUUCCUUUCUACAGCCAGAGCACAGACAGCGUGAGACUGAGUCAGUUUGUUUUCUGCACAUACCAAGGAACAGUAGAGCAACAAGGAGAAAGGAAUCUGGGUCCCUGAGUGGCUUCAAGGAACACAGUUAACUAUCCAGGCCUCGACCACCCGCUGCUGCAGACAGAUCUGGUUUCCAUUCCUGUGGCGUGUGAGACGAGGGGACCCUUCUUCAGGGAUUCGUGGGCAGUGUGCUGAGAGCUCGAUAAUCUACUGGAGGAUGUGCUAUAUCAAAAAGAAGAGAUUAAACUCAGCAAGGGGAAGACUAAAGGAAAAUAAAAAGAUAAAGGAGACUGGAAAGCCAAGAGAAUCUCCAGCCAAGAGACCGGAGAAAAACAUAGAAUCUCCACAAUGAUGGGAAAGGGAGAUCACAAGAUGACAAGAUGACAACGUGUCACCAGCUGAGUACCACCAACCCAGACUGCUGCAGUGUGUCUCAGGGGCCAAGCAGGCUGCUGAGACUAUUAUCUAUGGCACCCUGUCACAUCCUCAAAACAAGAGACUAUAGCAAGCAGGAAGACAGGAGACUGGGAAGCAGGGAAUAUAAUCAUGAGAAAAGCAAAAGGAACUCCCAAGAUGGUAACAGAGGGAAGUUCGAGAUGACAGCUUAGUGGUGGCCUAAAGAGAAAUAUUUACAUUUUAAAAUACUAUUUUCAGGGGCACCUGGGUUGCUCAGUAGGUUGAGCAUCCGACUUUGGCUCAGGUCAUGAUCUCACAGCUCGUGGGUUUGAGCGCUGCGGUUGGGCUCUGUGCUGACCGCUCAGAGCCUGGAGCCUGCUUCGGAUUCUGUGUCUCCCUCUGUCUCUGCCCCUUCCCCGCUCAUACUCUGUUCUCUCAAACAUGAAUAAACAUUAAAAAAAACCCUAUUUUCAUAAAGUGAAAAGGACUUUAAAAAAUUGGAAGAAUGUAAAAUAAAAGUCUUAACAGUGUAUCUUUGAGUGGCAAGGUAAUUGGUAACUACUGUCUUUGCUUUUCUGGGUUUUGCAGGGGGAUAGAAGGUGUUUAUGCAAUAAAAAAGACAUUUACAUCUCUCCAGAAGGAAGAAAUUCUUACCCAUUGGUAGUCACUCUUGACUCCUCCUCUCAGUGCUUGGAAACUAUUAAUCCAAUUUCUGUCUCUAUAGAUUUUUCUAUUCUGGAUAUUUCCUAUUGAUGAAAUCAUACACAUAUGACCUUUUGUGUCUGACUUCUUUCACUUAGCAUUAAUAUUUUCAAAAUACAUCCUUUUUCAUCCAUCUAGCAAGCAUUGGCACUUCACUUUUUUAAUGAGUAAUAUUCCAUUGCAUGGAUAUACAUUUUGUUUAUCAAUUCAUCAGUUAAUGGAUAUUUGGGCUGUUUUUACCUUUGGCUGUGAUGAAUAAUGCUGCUAUAAACAUUUGUAUAGAAGUUUUUAUAUGGACAUAUGUUUUUCAGUUCUCUUGAACAAAUAUCUAGCAAAUUUGCUAGGCCAUAUGGACCUCUGUUUCACUUUUAAAAGAACUGCCAAACUGUUUUCCAAAGUAGCUGUAUUAUUUCACAAUCCCACCAGCAAUGUUUGAGGGUUCCAUUUUCUCCACAUUCUUGCCUACACUUGUUAUUGUCUGUCUUUUUAAUUAUAGCCAUCCUAGUGGAUAAGUAUUUAAUUGGCUUCUGAGUUGCAAUUUCCUAAAAACUAAAGAUGCUGAGCAUCUUCUUAUGGGCUUAUUGGCCAUAUGUAUAUAAUCUUGGAGAGAUGUCUAUUGAAAUAAUUUUCCAUUUUUAUGAUUUUUUAAAUGUUUAUUUUAUUUUUGAGAGAGACAGAGUGUGAGUGGGGGAGGGGCAGAGAGAGAGAGAGGUAGACACAGAAUGUGAAGCAGGUUCCAGGCUCAAAUGUGAGGCUCGAACUCACGAACUGCGAGAUCAUGACCUGAGCUGAAGUCAGACGCUCAACCGACUAAGCCACAAGGUGCCCCCAUUAUCCAUUUUUAAAUUGGAUUAUUUGUGCUUUUAUUAUUUGGCUUUAAGA
Long non-coding RNA from Acinonyx jubatus (cheetah), 2114 nucleotides. RefSeq lists it as uncharacterized. NCBI's taxonomy places the organism in Eukaryota, Metazoa, Chordata, Mammalia, Carnivora, Felidae. The record is from RefSeq and is a predicted model, not a curated record. The transcript is spliced from 3 exons.